CGAGUGGCGGACGGGUGAGUAAUGUCUGGGAAACUGCCCGAUGGAGGGGGAUAACUACUGGAAACGGUAGCUAAUACCGCAUAACGUCGCAAGACCAAAGAGGGGGACCUUGGGCCUCUUGCCAUCGGAUGUGCCCAGAUGGGAUUAGCUAGUAGGUGGGGUAACGGCUCACCUAGGCGACGAUCCCUAGCUGGUCUGAGAGGAUGACCAGCCACACUGGAACUGAGACACGGUCCAG
Molecule: ribosomal RNA, 238 nt
Filed under: uncultured bacterium
Lineage: Bacteria
Description: partial 16S ribosomal RNA
Rfam family: Bacterial small subunit ribosomal RNA
Source: RNAcentral